UACGUAGGGAGCAAGCGUUGUUCGGAUUUACUGGGCGUAAAGGGCGCGUAGGCGGCAACUCAAGUCAGCUGUGGAAUCUCCGAGCUUAACUCGGAACGGUCAGCUGAUACUGUUUUGCUAGAGUGCAGAAGGGGCAAUCGGAAUUCUUGGUGUAGCGGUGAAAUGCGUAGAUAUCAAGAGGAACACCUGAGGUGAAGACGGGUUGCUAGGCUGACACUGACGCUGAGGCGCGAAAGCCAGGGGAGCGAACGGG
Molecule: ribosomal RNA, 253 nt
Filed under: uncultured bacterium
Lineage: Bacteria
Description: partial 16S ribosomal RNA
Rfam family: Bacterial small subunit ribosomal RNA
Source: RNAcentral